RNAcentral lists this ribosomal RNA (1849 nucleotides) under metagenome. Its description in RNAcentral is "bacterial LSU rRNA". It matches the Rfam family "Bacterial large subunit ribosomal RNA", at positions 1097 to 2925 of the family's 2925-position model. The record is from RNAcentral.
GAGGUUGGCUUAGAAGCAGCCAUUCCUUUAAAGAGUGCGUAAUAGCUCACUGGUCGAGUCGGUUUGCGCGGAAGAUUUAACGGGGCUAAAACUACAUACCGAAGCUACGGAUCAUAAUUUAUUAUGAUGGUAGGAGAGCGUUCUGUAAGCCGUUGAAGGUGUCCUGUGAGGGAUGCUGGAGGUAUCAGAAGUGCGAAUGCUGACAUGAGUAACGAUAAAGGGGGUGAAAAACCCCCUCGCCAGAAGUCCAAGGUUUCCUACGCAACGUUAAUCGGCGUAGGGUUAGUCGGCCCCUAAGGCGAGGCAGAAAUGCGUAGUCGAUGGGAAACAGGUUAAUAUUCCUGUACUUCAUAUAACUGCGAUGGGAAGACGGAGAAGGUUAGCUCAGCAAGGCGAUGGUUGUCCUUGUUCAAGCGUGUAGAAAUGGUUCUUAGGAAAAUCCGGGAACCUCUAUUUCAAGGCGUGAUAACGAGCCCUCUUUUGGGCGAAGUGAGUGAUACCAUGCUUCCAGGAAAAUCCUCUAAGCUAUAGGUUAUAUGAAACCGUACCCCAAACCGACACAGGUGGACGAGAUGAGAAUUCUAAGGCGCUUGAGAGAACUCGGGUGAAGGAACUAGGCAAAAUGACACCGUAACUUCGGGAGAAGGUGUGCUCUUUGUAGGUGAAAUCACUAGCUGAUGAAGCUGAAAAGAGUUGAAGAAACCAGGUGGCUCCGACUGUUUAUUAAAAACACAGCACUCUGCAAACACGUAAGUGGACGUAUAGGGUGUGACGCCUGCCCGGUGCUUGAAGGUUAAUUGAUGAGGUUAGGAUUUAUCCGAAGCUUUUGAUCGAAGCCCAAGUAAACGGCGGCCGUAACUAUAACGGUCCUAAGGUAGCGAAAUUCCUUGUCGGGUAAGUUCCGACCUGCACGAAUGGCGUAACGAGGGCCACACUGUCUCCACCCGAGACUCAGUGAAAUUGAAAUUGCUGUUAAGAUGCAGUAUACCCGCGGCCAGACGGAAAGACCCCGUGCACCUUUACUACAGCUUUGCAUUGAACUCUGAUCCUACCUGUGUAGGAUAGGUGGGAGACUUUGAAACUUUAACGCUAGUUAGAGUGGAGUCAUCCUUGAAAUACCACCCUGGUAUGGUUGGGGUUCUAACCUUGGUCCGUUAUCCGGAUUGGGGACAAUGCAUGGUGGGUAGUUUGACUGGGGCGGUCUCCUCCCAAAGAGUAACGGAGGAGCGCAAAGGUACCCUCAGCACGGUCGGACAUCGUGCAAUGAGCGCAAAGGUAAAAGGGUGCUUGACUGCGAGACUGACACGUCGAGCAGGUAGGAAACUAGGUCUUAGUGAUCCGGUGGUUCUGAGUGGAAGGACCAUCGCUCAACGGAUAAAAGGUACGCCGGGGAUAACAGGCUGAUACCGCCCAAGAGUUCACAUCGACGGCGGUGUUUGGCACCUCGAUGUCGGCUCAUCACAUCCUGGGGCUGAAGCAGGUCCCAAGGGUAUGGCUGUUCGCCAUUUAAAGUGGUACGCGAGCUGGGUUUAGAACGUCGUGAGACAGUUCGGUCCCUAUCUACCGUGGGCGUUGGAGACUUGAGGGAAGCUGUUCUUAGUACGAGAGGACCGGAAUGGACACACCUCUGGUGUUUCGGUUAUGACGCCAGUCGUAUUGCCGAGUAGCUAUGUGUGGAAAGGAUAACCGCUGAAAGCAUCUAAGCGGGAAGCCCCUCCCAAGAUUAGGUCUCCCUGACAGUUUAACUGUCCUAAAGAUCCCUCGGAGACUACGAGGUUGAUAGGCACGGUGUGGAAGAGUAGUGAUACUUGAAGCUAACGUGUACUAAUUGAUCGUGAGGCUUGACCAU